AUUUAAAUAGUUUAAAAUAAAAUAUUGAUUUGUGGUGUCAGUGAUAUGAAUUUAUUCAUUUUAAAUC
Molecule: transfer RNA, 67 nt
Filed under: Chrysops dissectus
Lineage: Eukaryota; Metazoa; Arthropoda; Insecta; Diptera; Tabanidae
Description: tRNA-His
Source: RNAcentral